GGAUUAGAUACCCUGGUAGUCCACGCCGUAAACGAUGAUCACUAGACGUCAGCUCUGUUUUGCAGGGUUGGUGUCGUAGCUAACGCGUUAAGUGAUCCGCCUGGGGACUACGAUCGCAAGAUUAAAACUCAAAGGAAUUGACGGGGGCCCGCACAAGCGGUGGAACAUGUGGUUUAAUUCGACACUCCGCGAGGAACCUUACCUAGGCUUGACAUGUACUUGACCGCUAUAGAAAUAUAGUUUUUUGAGCUUCGGUUCAAACGGGUACACAGGUGCUGCAUGGCUGUCGUCAGCUCGUGCCG
RNAcentral lists this ribosomal RNA (302 nucleotides) under uncultured bacterium. RNAcentral's name for it is "bacterial SSU rRNA". It matches the Rfam family "Bacterial small subunit ribosomal RNA", at positions 775 to 1067 of the family's 1533-position model. The record is from RNAcentral.